Molecule: small RNA, 1307 nt
Filed under: uncultured Burkholderia sp.
Lineage: Bacteria; Pseudomonadati; Pseudomonadota; Betaproteobacteria; Burkholderiales; Burkholderiaceae
Description: bacterial SSU rRNA
Rfam family: Bacterial small subunit ribosomal RNA (bases 1-464)
Source: RNAcentral
GUCGUGAGAUGUUGGGUUAAGUCCCGCAACGAGCGCAACCCUUGUCCCUAGUUGCUACGCAAGGGCACUCUAGGGAGACUGCCGGUGACAAACCGGAGGAAGGUGGGGAUGACGUCAAGUCCUCAUGGCCCUUAUGGGUAGGGCUUCACACGUCAUACAAUGGACGGUACAGAGGGUCGCCAACCCGCGAGGGGGAGCCAAUCCCUAGAAAGCCGUUCGUAGUCCGGAUCGCAGUCUGCAACUCGACUGCGUGAAGUCGGAAUCGCUAGUAAUCGCGGAUCAGCAUGUCGCGGUGAAUACGUUCCCGGGUCUUGUACACACCGCCCGUCACACCAUGGGAGCGGGAUGUACCAGAAGUAGGUAGGCUAACCGCAAGGGGGCCGCUUACCACGGUGCGUUUCGUGACUGGGGUGAAGUCGUAACAAGGUAGCCGUAUCGGAAGGUGCGGCUGGAUCACCUCCUUUCUCGGAAUCAGGGAUCAGGAGUCAGAGGACAGAAGUCAGCAAUGGCUAACGUCCAACGACCCUGCCACUCCCAACCACGAUCCAAGUACCCACAACCUAUCGGUUGCACGCUAGAAGUGCAACGAGAGUGAAGACACCGGGCCUGUAGCUCAGUUGGUUAGAGCACCGUCUUGAUAAGGCGGGGGUCGAUGGUUCGAAUCCAUCCAGACCCACCAGUCAGGAGUCAGGAAUCAGAAGACAGAUGACAGAACGGUGGGUGAUUGAGGUCUUUCUGACUUCUGUCCUCUGACUUCUGACUCCUGAUUCGGGGCUGUAGCUCAAUUGGGAGAGCGCCUGCUUUGCAAGCAGGAGGUCGUCGGUUCGAUCCCGUCCAGCUCCACCAAUCAGAAGACAGGAUUCAGGAGUCAGAAGACAGACUGGAUCAGUGUUCUUCAACUAUCGGUUGCACAAACACAGCAUUCAGCAGUGGGCUUGGUAACGAGUCCAGUUCUGAAAGCUGUACGCGUUCUUUAAAAAUUUGGAAGGUAAGGGUGUAUCGAGCUUGAUGAGAGCUCGGUACGCAAAGGGUUGAGUUGUAUCUUUACAAGACUUGCGUGCUGGAAACAAAAGGCCGGUGCGUGAGUUUGGCGCGCGAACACAUCGUAACGGUGUGUCCUCAAUCAGCGAUGGUGUCGGAGGUGUUGCUGUCCUCUGUCUUCUGUCUUCUGAUUCCUGGAUCCACAGUUAUGGAGUCAAGCGACUAAGUGCAUGUGGUGGAUGCCUAGGCGAUUACAGGCGAUGAAGGACGUGGCAGCCUGCGAAAAGCUGCGGGGAGCUGGCAAACGAGCAUUGAUCCGCAGAUAU